AGAGAGAGAGAGAGAGAGAGAUUUAGGGGUAUUUUUGAUAUUGCACAGUUUAAGUGAGAUUUAGGUGAGAAUUGAUUUUGAAAUCAGACCAAAGUAAGUCUGAUUUGUAAAU
This is a non-coding RNA of Arachis ipaensis, 112 nucleotides long. Lineage: Eukaryota; Viridiplantae; Streptophyta; Magnoliopsida; Fabales; Fabaceae. The record is from RefSeq and is a predicted model, not a curated record.